Molecule: ribosomal RNA, 627 nt
Filed under: Russula sp. GAL14478
Lineage: Eukaryota; Fungi; Basidiomycota; Agaricomycetes; Russulales; Russulaceae
Description: LSU rRNA
Rfam family: Eukaryotic large subunit ribosomal RNA
Source: RNAcentral
UAAGCGGAGGAAAAGAAACUAACAAGGAUUCCCCUAGUAACUGCGAGUGAAGCGGGAAAAGCUCAAAUUUAAAAUCUGGUGGUCUUUGGCCAUCCGAGUUGUAAUUUAGAGAAGCGUCUUCCGCGCUGGACCGUGCACAAGUCUCCUGGAAUGGAGCGUCAUAGAGGGUGAGAAUCCCGUCUUUGGCACGGAUGUACCAGGGCUUUUGUGAUGCGCUCUCGAAGAGUCGAGUUGUUUGGGAAUGCAGCUCAAAAUGGGUGGUGAACUCCAUCUAAAGCUAAAUAUUGGCGAGAGACCGAUAGCGAACAAGUACCGUGAGGGAAAGAUGAAAAGCACUUUGGAAAGAGAGUGAAACAGUACGUGAAAUUGUUGAAAGGGAAACGCUUGAAGUCAGUCGCGUCGACCGAGACUCAGCCUUGCCUCGGCUUGGUGUACUUCUCGGCUGACGGGUCAGCAUCAAUUUUGCCCCUUGGAUAAUGGCGAGGGAAAUGUGACACCUUUACGGUGUGUUAUAGUCUCUCGUCGCAUGCAAGGGUCGGGAUUGAGGAACUCAGCACGCGCCCUCGGGCGUCGGGGCUUUGCCCACGAUACGUGCUUAGGAUGUUGGCGUAAUGGCUUUNAACGANC